RNAcentral lists this ribosomal RNA (460 nucleotides) under uncultured bacterium. Its description in RNAcentral is "partial 16S ribosomal RNA". It matches the Rfam family "Bacterial small subunit ribosomal RNA", at positions 338 to 795 of the family's 1533-position model. The record is from RNAcentral.
CCUACGGGAGGCUGCAGUGAGGAAUAUUGGUCAAUGGACGAGAGUCUGAACCAGCCAAGUAGCGUGAAGGAUGACUGCCCUAUGGGUUGUAAACUUCUUUUAUAUGGGAAUAAAACGUUCCACGUGUGGGAUUUUGUAUGUACCAUAUGAAUAAGGAUCGGCUAACUCCGUGCCAGCAGCCGCGGUAAUACGGAGGAUCCGAGCGUUAUCCGGAUUUAUUGGGUUUAAAGGGAGCGUAGGUGGAUUGUUAAGUCAGGUGUGAAAGUUUGCGGCUCAACCGUAAAAUUGCAGUUGAAACUGGCAGUCUUGAGUACAGUAGAGGUGGGCGGAAUGCGUGGUGUAGCGGUGAAAUGCUUAGAUAUCACGAAGAACUCCGAUUGCGAAGGCAGUUCACUGGACUGCAACUGACACUGAGGCUCGAAAGUGUGGGUAUCAAACAGGAUUAGAUACCCUUGUAGUC